AUUGAACGCUGGCGGCAGGCCUAACACAUGCAAGUCGAGCGCGCGGCGCAGGCGUGUGAGAUGUCUCGGAAAAUGCCUGAGGGAGGGGGAUAAAUACUGGAGAAGGUAGCUCAUAUACCACACCCUCCGAUGUGUCCAGAUGGGAUUAGCUAGUGGGUGGGGUAAUGGCUCACCAAGGCGACGAUCCCUAGCUGGUCUGAGAGGAUGACCAGCCACACUGGAACUGAGACACGGUCCAGACUCCUACGGGAGGCAGCAGUGGGGAAUAUUGCACAAUGGGCGCAAGCCUGAUGCAGCCAUGCCGCGUGUGUGAAGAAGGCCUUCGGGUUGUAAAGCACUUUCAGCGGGGAGGCGUUACCCGCAGAAGAAGCACCGGCUAACUCCGUGCCAGCAGCCGCGGUAAUAC
This 406-nucleotide ribosomal RNA is filed under the name uncultured bacterium. RNAcentral's name for it is "partial 16S ribosomal RNA". It matches the Rfam family "Bacterial small subunit ribosomal RNA", at positions 30 to 526 of the family's 1533-position model. The record is from RNAcentral.